RNAcentral lists this long non-coding RNA (3093 nucleotides) under Arabidopsis lyrata. Its description in RNAcentral is "long non-coding RNA (ALYR_LNC001756)". Lineage: Eukaryota; Viridiplantae; Streptophyta; Magnoliopsida; Brassicales; Brassicaceae. The record is from RNAcentral.
GAAAGAAAAGCCAGACCAUUCAACUACUCUAUUCUUAAAACUCAUCAGUUACAUAUAAAUUUGGUGCAAUCCAGAGGUACAGACAGGGAAUGGUAUCUCUACUAACUACAAAAAGCAUCACUGAUACAUGAGAGUAGAAAUGUGUUACCAGUGCAGAUAUCGUCUGCUGUCUGGAUCCUCCCUUUCACCAGUUUCAUUUGAUACUAGCAGGCUGGUUAGCUGAUUCUUUAUUUGGACCCUGUACACUCAUUUGAUGUUACUACUUCAGGAAAAUAAUGACUAGCAAUUCAUUUCCAAUAGGCAAGAGUUCCGAAAGUGUAGAUGAGAUAUCUAAUAUGUACUCUACUUUAGUAUCAGUUACGAACCUUUGUUUCGAUGUAUAACCCCAUACAAGCUGUCAAGCUCGUUUAUUCUUGUUACUGCAGACACAAGUACCUCGACGUGAUUCAGCAACUGUUAACCACGAAGAAAAGGAAAGCUUAUAAAUCCACACAAACAAUAUCAUCUUCUCUUUUUUUGUUUGGACAAACACAAAACCAUCUUCUCUAUUGCAUGAAACCAUACCAAAAAAACUCUUAUUUGCAAUCCCCUUUUCCUACGUAGAGACCACCGACUUUACAAUUUUUUUUAAAUUGCAUCCAAUGGAAGUUUCAUAUAUGACGAUGAUUUACAACUCAUUAGUCAAUAAUCAAUAAACCACAAUGCAUAUUAGUUAUUUGGUUAAGAAGAUGAAAACUAUGGAGGAGCCUGAGUACAAUAAUUAUCUAGCCCAAUAAUCCCCAAUGGAUAACAUGCAUUUCUUAUACACAAUUACCAUAUCAUGAUAAGACAAAUCAGGAUCCUCCGAGGCUUAGACUGCCAAAUUUCUAUCUAAACUUGGUAAUUUAGAGCCUCUAUCUAAACUUGGUCUAAUAUUUCAGAAGGAAAGGGAUGGCUCACUACUGCUGAUCUGGUAACAGCAAGAUAAUCAAUCGAAAGCCAAUAAACCUGACCAACAAAAUUCACUCCGUGUUAAAAAAGAAAUCAAAGAAACAAGAGGCAAAUAAUAAUAAUACCAAACAGCUUUAAUCACAUAAGUAGCCCACAACUGAUAGGGAUAAAUUUGUUUUGCAUGCUUUAGCUAUAAAAUUAUGUUACUAAACCUCAACGUUUAUCACUUAAAAGUAAUCAAUUCUUCUUAUAUGACAUAAACACAAGAUAUCACAAGGCAUUUUAAUAUUUAAAUGGAUUAAAGGAGUGCCACCUAUCACAUUUUCCGACAUAACAAUAUGUAAAUCUUUGCAGGAAGCCAAAAAACACUUUGAGAAGAAAUACUGCAUGAUCAUAAAGUACUUUUUAAUGAAAAUGGUAAUUGAACCUAAUAUGCUAAAGGGUGCACCUUGUCCCAAGUUGUAGUUACGGAAGCUGUCCACAUAUCUCUAAUCUCUGCAGCUGUGGAACAAAUUCUUGAACUGUAGCUAGAAUCUUUAGCAAUCUGCAAGAGCAUUUCAGACAUUAGUUUUGGUCAUCUAAAAUAUUCCGUACUGAUCUUUUAUACAAAACAAAAGGAAACACUAAUAUAAUAUCAGAUUUAAUUAAAAGGAGGAUAGAAAUAGCAGAAUGUCCUUAUGUACUCCCCAGGAAUUAAUAAGCUUAUCUUCAUUUGUUAUUGAUGUUGAAGCCUAUUUCUAAUGCAGAAUAACAUAGUUUUUUUCUCAUAAACUCAAACAAAAUAAUGCAAUUAGGUCAAAGCUGAAAUCAAGACAUUUACCCUUACCUUUUUCUCAGUUAGGUUGUCCAGAAAAAGUCGAUCUCUCGAGGACAUAACACAUCUGGACAUCAUUCAGGGUAUCAAGUAUAAUUUGCUUCGAUUACGUUAGCUAGUUUGAAUCAAAGAAGAAGGUAUGCUGUUUCACCUGCCCAAUGGGGAUCAAAAGCUUAAGCAGAAGUGAGGACUAAAUAUCUGCUUCUGCAACAUAGAUGACUCUAAAGGAAAAUCAUGCAACAACCAACAAGCUAGAGAAAUUAACUUAUAGUGUACAAGUAAAAUUAGCAAAUGACGAGUAUAAAUAUUUGCAGCUAAGUUUAUCAUCCUAAGCACCCCGAUUAAGUUAACUGUUAAAGCAAAAUUCGGGCCAAUGUUCCAGCCAAAGAACUACGUACUAUCUAACUACCCCUUCAAGAUCUCUGAUUCAUCAUAUCUUUUCUUUAUCCCUUGAAAUAUUCAUUUAAUAACCAAACAACCUUGUUUAGACAUGAGAGUUCCAUGUCUUUAAAAAUAGGAGAGAACUUAGUAAAAUCAGGAUGCGUACCAGCAAUUCGAUGAUCUCUGGACCAUACUAAAAAAGCAUCCAUCUCGACAAUACAGAUCCAGAACAUGCAUCCAUCUCGGCAAUACAGAGAAACGGAAAGCUUAAAAAUCCGCACAAACAAAACCACUUUCGCUGCUGCGUGAAACCAUACAAAAAAAAAAGCAAUUAUUCUCAACACGUAGAAGAUUGCAACCUUCCAAAUCCAAUAGUGGUGAAUGGUGAUGAAUUGAAAUCAUGCAUUACCUUCUUAGUAUCCUUCAGUUUCCAUAAAACCUCUUCUUGCAAUGCUCUCAAACAACUGAGAAAGGAAUAAAACAUUCAGAAAUAUACAUGCCUCAGGUGGGAUCAAGUGUCUCAUGUGUAGCGUUCAGGACUUUUCAAAGCUAAAAACGACUUCAUCACAACUGACCACUGAUACUAGGACAUGAACCAAGAAAGAAAAACCAGACCAUUCAACUACUCUAUUCUUAAAACUCCUCAGUUACAUAUAAAUUUGGUGCAAUCCAGAGGUACAGACAGGGAAUGGUAUCUCUACUGGCUACAAAAAGCAUCACUGAUACAUGAGAGUAGAAAUGUGUUACCAGUGCAGAUAUCGUCUGCUGUCUGGAUCCUCCCUUUCACCAGUUUCAUUUGAUACUAGCAGGCUGGUUAGCUGAUUCUUUAUUUGGACCCUGUACACUCAUUUGAUGUUACUACUUCAGGAAAAUAAUGACUAGCAAUUCAUUUCCAAUAGGCAAGAGUUCCGAAAGUGUAGAUGAGAUAUCCAAUAUGUACUCUACUUUAGUAUCAGUUACGAACCUUU